ACAUGUCCGGAAUCCGAAGAGAUUUGGGAGUGCUCGCAAGAGAGCCGGAACACAGGUGCUGCAUGGCUGUCGUCAGCUCGUGUCGUGAGAUGUUGGGUUAAGUCCCGCAACGAGCGCAACCUUGUCAUUAGUUGCCAUCAUUUGGUUGGGCACUCUAAUGAGACUGCCGGUGACAAACCGGAGGAAGGUGGGGAUGACGUCAAGUCCUCAUGGCCCUUAUGGGUAGGGCUUCACACGUCAUACAAUGGUCGGUACAGAGGGUUGCCAACCCGCGAGGGGGAGCUAAUCCCACAAAGCCGAUCGUAGUCCGGAUCGCAGUCUGCAACUCGACUGCGUGAAGUCGGAAUCGCUAGUAAUCGUGGAUCAGCAUGUCACGGUGAAUACGUUCCCGGGUCUU
RNAcentral lists this ribosomal RNA (397 nucleotides) under uncultured Rhodocyclaceae bacterium. RNAcentral's name for it is "bacterial SSU rRNA". It matches the Rfam family "Bacterial small subunit ribosomal RNA", at positions 984 to 1382 of the family's 1533-position model. Lineage: Bacteria; Pseudomonadati; Pseudomonadota; Betaproteobacteria; Rhodocyclales; Rhodocyclaceae. The record is from RNAcentral.